ACACAUGCAAGUUGAACGUGAUUUGCUGGGUGCUUGCACCGAGCAAUGAAAGUAGCGCACUGGUGAGUAACACGUGGGAACGUACCUUUUGGUGGGGAACAACAGUUGGAAACGACUGCUAAUACCGCAUAAGCCCUGAGGGGGAAAGAUUUAUCGCCGAAAGAACGGCCCGCGGAAGAUUAGGUAGUUGGUGGGGUAACGGCCUACCAAGCCGACGAUCUAUAGCUGGUCUGAGAGGACGAUCAGCCACAUUGGAACUGAGACACGGUCCAAACUCCUACGGGAGGCAGCAGUGAGGAAUAUUGGGCAAUGGAGGCAACUCUGACCCAGCCAUGCCGCGUGAGUGAAGAAGGUUUUCGGAUUGUAAAGCUCUUUCGGGUGUGACGAUGAUGACGGUAGCACCUAAAGAAGCCCCGGCUAACUUCGUGCCAGCAGCCGCGGUAAUACGAAGGGGGCAAGCGUCGUUCGGAAUUACUGGGCGUAAAGGGAGUGUAGGCGGUUAUGUAAGAUAGUGGUGAAAUCCCAGAGCUUAACUUUGGAAUUGCCAUUAUGACUAUGUGGCUAGAAUUACAGAGAGGAUAGUGGAAUACCCAGUGUAGAGGUGAAAUUCGUAGAUGUUGGGUAGAACACCAGUGGCGAAGGCGACUAUCUGGCUGUAUAUUGACGCUGAGGCUCGAA
Molecule: ribosomal RNA, 678 nt
Filed under: uncultured bacterium
Lineage: Bacteria
Description: bacterial SSU rRNA
Rfam family: Bacterial small subunit ribosomal RNA
Source: RNAcentral